Molecule: microRNA precursor, 206 nt
Filed under: Oryza brachyantha (malo sina)
Lineage: Eukaryota; Viridiplantae; Streptophyta; Magnoliopsida; Poales; Poaceae
Description: MIR812 microRNA precursor family
Rfam family: MIR812 microRNA precursor family
Source: Rfam by way of RNAcentral
AAUAAACUAAUCUUUCACUUUUAUCUAUAAUAUUUGAUUUUUCGUCUUAUUUAAAAUUCUUUUACGAUUUAUAUUUUGAUUUUAUUAGAUGAUAAAUUAUGAAUAGUACUUUACGUGUGACUAAUUUUUUAAAAAAAUUCUUAAAUUUUUUUCAAAUAAGACGGAUAGUCAAACACUGGACACACAAACGUAAAGUUUGUCUUAUU